AGAACUGAAUGCCAAACUUUUAGUCUCUUGAUCUCAAGAAUUUUAAUGCUUUUUAUUGCCGUAAAACUCCGGGGAUAUAUUGAUGGAGCUGGAGCUAGACGUCGGUCGAGAUCUGUGAUGCCGGAGGAUACCUGCAAAGGAAGUCCAUACUCGCAGAGGUAUUUCGGUGGGGGAUUUUCUGAUGUUUAAGUUAGCCGAAGCUUUAGAAAUAGUAGAGAGAAAAGAUCGCAAA
RNAcentral lists this long non-coding RNA (232 nucleotides) under Elaeis guineensis (African oil palm). Its description in RNAcentral is "long non-coding RNA (EGUI_LNC058623)". Lineage: Eukaryota; Viridiplantae; Streptophyta; Magnoliopsida; Arecales; Arecaceae. The record is from RNAcentral.